CGGGACGGGGUGAGUAAUGUCUGGGAAACUGCCCGAUGGAGGGGGGUAACUACUGGAAACGGUAGCUAAUACCGCAUAAUGUCUGCGGACCAAAGCGGGGGACCUCCGGGCCUCGCGCCAUCAGAUGAACCCAUAUGGGAUUAGCUAGUAGGUAAGGUAACGGCUUACCUAGGCGACGAUCCCUAGCUGGUCUGAGAGGAUGAUCAGCCACACUGGGACUGAGACACGGUCCAG
Molecule: ribosomal RNA, 234 nt
Filed under: uncultured bacterium
Lineage: Bacteria
Description: partial 16S ribosomal RNA
Rfam family: Bacterial small subunit ribosomal RNA
Source: RNAcentral